Molecule: ribosomal RNA, 440 nt
Filed under: uncultured bacterium
Lineage: Bacteria
Description: partial 16S ribosomal RNA
Rfam family: Bacterial small subunit ribosomal RNA
Source: RNAcentral
CCUACGGGUGGCAGCAGUAGGGAAUAUUGCUCAAUGGGGGAAACCCUGAAGCAGCAACGCCGCGUGGAGGAUGAAGGUUUUCGGAUUGUAAAGUCCUUUUGUUAGGGAAGAUAAUGACGGUAUCUAACCAAUACGCCCCGGCUAACUCCGUGCCAGCAGCCGCGGUAAUACGUAGGGUGCAAGCGUUACCCGGAAUCACUGGGCGUAAAGGGCGCGUAGGCGGGUGCGCAAGUCAGGAGUGAAAUCCUAGGGCUGAACCAUAGAACUGCAUUUGAAACUGUUUAUCUAGAGUGUGGGAGAGGUAGGUGGAAUUCUUGGUGUAGGGGUAAAAUCCGUAGAGAUCAAGAGGAAUACUCAUUGCGAAGGCGACCUGCUAGAACGUAACUGACGCUGAGGCGCGAAAGCGUGGGGAGCAAACAGGAUUAGAUACCCGUGUAGUC